UGGGGAAUUUUGGACAAUGGGGGAAACCCUGAUCCAGCCAUUCCGCGUGUGCGAUGAAGGCCUUCGGGUUGUAAAGCACUUUUGGCAGGAAAGAAAUCGCAUGGAUUAAUACUCUGUGCGGAUGACGGUACCUGCAGAAUAAGCACCGGCUAACUACGUGCCAGCAGCCGCGGUAAUACGUAGGGUGCAAGCGUUAAUCGGAAUUACUGGGCGUAAAGCGUGCGCAGGCGGUUCGGAAAGAAGGAUGUGAAAUCCCAGGGCUUAACCUUGGAACUGCAUUCUUAACUACCGGGCUAGAGUGUGUCAGAGGGAGGUGGAAUUCCGCGUGUAGCAGUGAAAUGCGUAGAUAUGCGGAGGAACACCGAUGGCGAAGGCAGCCUCCUGGGACAACACUGACGCUCAUGCACGAAAGCGUGGGGAGCAAACA
RNAcentral lists this ribosomal RNA (427 nucleotides) under uncultured Bordetella sp. RNAcentral's name for it is "partial 16S ribosomal RNA". It matches the Rfam family "Bacterial small subunit ribosomal RNA", at positions 355 to 774 of the family's 1533-position model. Lineage: Bacteria; Pseudomonadati; Pseudomonadota; Betaproteobacteria; Burkholderiales; Alcaligenaceae. The record is from RNAcentral.